GUUAUUUAUUAUUGAUAUGACAGCUGUAAUGCGGAUGUGGAAUUUCACAUCAGCUCUCUGUUGUUAAUUUGUAUUUGUUGCUAGGUCGAGUCUUGUUUUUAUUAAAUCAUGAUCAAAUCACAUAUUUGUAAUCAAUCAACAUGGCAUUUAGUUCUCAAUUAUACUUUUUUUGUCCCAAAUUUCUAAGGUGUUCUCCAACAGACCAUUUUAAAUAAAUGCAGUGCUGAACAGACAGAGGAUAUUAUUAUCAUCCUACAAGAUGAAUCUACUCUUCUAUUAUAUGAUACAUUCUGCACAUAGACAUCAUACAAGCCUCACCCAAAACCAGCCAGUGGUAUAAAAGUAAGCACUGCAUUGUUCUAUCUAGACAAUUACACUGAGAAAAUGAGCAUCAAAAACUUACAGAUUACAAAGCAGGCAAAAUCUUUUGAAGUGAACUAAAGAGCUGGAUUAAGUGUCCUUAUCUUUGUUUCCUUUCUAACCAAACAAAUCUACAAUGGCAAGCGGUGAUUCAAAGGUAAGUUUUGUUAAAAAUCUUUUAAGUAUUGUGUCUGUAGACCUCUGCAGAUAACUCGUUCUAACACAAUGAACAUAUUAAUACGAACUUAAUAAAGAACUAACCAUGAAUCUGUUUUUCAAAGGGGGAAAUUUGCACUGUUGGAGAUAUUUAUAUAUUCACAGUGAAUGUAAGUGAGUUUGCACCAGAAGAAGUUAUUGUAACCUCCACCAAUAAUUCAAUACAAGUCUGUGCAGAAAAGUUGGCAUCAGAUGGCACAAUUAUGGACACUGUUUGUCAGAAGUGCCAAUUCCCUGCUGAUGUGGAUCCAAUGUCAGUCACAUCUUCUCUAGGGAAAGAUGGUUUGUUGAGUAUUAAAGCUCAAAAACACACAGCAAAAGGCCCAGUAAUCACAGAUUCAAUCAAAGAAGUGAAGACCUAAUGCAUGGAUGUAUGUCUGAG
Ctenopharyngodon idella (grass carp) is the source of this 958-nucleotide RNA transcript. It is a transcript of the gene named heat shock protein beta-7-like, with no coding region annotated. The transcript is spliced from 2 exons. The record is from RefSeq and is a predicted model, not a curated record. NCBI's taxonomy places the organism in Eukaryota, Metazoa, Chordata, Actinopteri, Cypriniformes, Xenocyprididae.